AGCGAACGCUGGCGGCAGGCCUAACACAUGCAAGUCGAACGAACCUUUCGGGGUUAGUGGCGGACGGGUGAGUAACACGUGGGAACGUGCCUUUAGGUUCGGAAUAACUCAGGGAAACUUGUGCUAAUACCGAAUGUGCCCUUCGGGGGAAGAAUUUUCGCCUUUAGAGCGGCCCGCGUCUGAUUAGCUAGUUGGUUGAGGUAAUGGCUCACCAAGGGGACGAUCAGUAGCUGGUCUGAGAGGAUGAUCAGCCACAUUGGGACUGAGACACGGCCCAAACUCCUACGGGAGGCAGCAGUGGGGAAUCUUGCGCAAUGGGCGAAAGCCUGACGCAGCCAUGCCGCGUGAAUGAUGAAGGUCUUAGGAUUGUAAAAUUCUUUCACCGGGGACGAUAAUGACGGUACCCGGAGAAGAAGCCCCGGCUAACUUCGUG
RNAcentral lists this ribosomal RNA (433 nucleotides) under uncultured bacterium. RNAcentral describes it as "partial 16S ribosomal RNA". It matches the Rfam family "Bacterial small subunit ribosomal RNA", at positions 29 to 507 of the family's 1533-position model. The record is from RNAcentral.